GUGCUCACUUGGCUGCACACAAACUAAACUUUAAACAAUACAGGUUAGCAUGGCCCCUGCACAAGAAUGACAUACAUAUUUGUGAAACAAUCCAUAUUUUA
This is a small nuclear RNA of Fukomys damarensis (Damara mole-rat), 101 nucleotides long. NCBI's taxonomy places the organism in Eukaryota, Metazoa, Chordata, Mammalia, Rodentia, Bathyergidae. The record is from Ensembl.